This 253-nucleotide ribosomal RNA is filed under the name uncultured bacterium. RNAcentral describes it as "partial 16S ribosomal RNA". It matches the Rfam family "Bacterial small subunit ribosomal RNA", at positions 524 to 776 of the family's 1533-position model. The record is from RNAcentral.
UACAGAGGUCUUAAGCGUUGUUCGGAUUCAUUGGGCGUAAAGGGUGCGUAGGUGGCGCGGUAAGUCGGGUGUGAAAUUUCGGAGCUUAACUCCGAAACUGCAUUCGAUACUGCCGUGCUUGAGGACUGGAGAGGAGACUGGAAUUUACGGUGUAGCAGUGAAAUGCGUAGAGAUCGUAAGGAAGACCAGUGGCGAAGGCGGGUCUCUGGACAGUUCCUGACACUGAGGCACGAAGGCCAGGGGAGCAAACGGG